GAUGAACGCUGGCGGCGUGCCUAAUACAUGCAAGUCGAGCGAACAGACGAGGAGCUUGCUCCUCUGACGUUAGCGGCGGACGGGUGAGUAACACGUGGAUAACCUACCUAUAAGACUGGGAUAACUUCGGGAAACCGGAGCUAAUACCGGAUAAUAUAUUGAACCGCAUGGUUCAAUAGUGAAAGACGGUUUUGCUGUCACUUAUAGAUGGAUCCGCGCCGCAUUAGCUAGUUGGUAAGGUAACGGCUUACCAAGGCAACGAUGCGUAGCCGACCUGAGAGGAUGAUCGGCCACACUGGAACUGAGACACGGUCCAGACUCCUACGGGAGGCAGCAGUAGGGAAUCUUCCGCAAUGGGCGAAAGCCUGACGGAGCAACGCCGCGUGAGUGAUGAAGGUCUUCGGGUCGUAAAACUCUGUUAUUAGGGAAGAACAAAUGUGUAAGUAACUAUGCACGUCUUGACGGUACCUAAUCAGAAAGCCACGGCUAACUACGUG
This 497-nucleotide ribosomal RNA is filed under the name uncultured bacterium. Its description in RNAcentral is "partial 16S ribosomal RNA". It matches the Rfam family "Bacterial small subunit ribosomal RNA", at positions 28 to 507 of the family's 1533-position model. The record is from RNAcentral.